UGGGGAAUCUUGCGCAAUGGACGAAAGUCUGACGCAGCGACGCCGCGUGGGUGAUGAAGGCCUUCGGGUUGUAAAGCCCUGUGGGGAGAGAAGAAUAAGUGUUGGCGAAUACCCAACAUGAUGACGGUAUCUCCUUAGCAAGCACCGGCUAACUCUGUGCCAGCAGCCGCGGUAAGACAGAGGGUGCAAACGUUGUUCGGAAUUACUGGGCGUAAAGCGCGUGUAGGCGGCUUCGCAAGUCGGGUGUGAAAGCCCUGGGCUCAACCCAGGAAGUGCAUUCGAUACUGCGGAGCUGGAGUCCCGGAGAGGAUAGCGGAAUUCUCGGUGUAGAGGUGAAAUUCGUAGAUAUCGAGAGGAACACCGGUGGCGAAGGCGGCUAUCUGGACGGUGACUGACGCUGAGACGCGAAAGCGUGGGGAGCAAACAGGAUUAGGAUACCCUGGUAGUCCACGCCGUAAACGAUGGGUGCUAGGUGUUGCGGGUAUUGA
Molecule: ribosomal RNA, 488 nt
Filed under: uncultured Pseudomonadota bacterium
Lineage: Bacteria; Pseudomonadati; Pseudomonadota
Description: bacterial SSU rRNA
Rfam family: Bacterial small subunit ribosomal RNA
Source: RNAcentral